AGCCAACACGAGGCCCCAAUCAUCGGUGCAGGGAAAAUAUUGGUCGUUUAUCUUUUAUUUUCAAUUGCCGGCGCCUCGGGUUGUCGUCGUGCGAACGGAUAGGCGCUGACAGAAUUCAUUUGUGCAACUAAAAGGAUACAAAUACGCGCUGAUAUGUGAAAUUACAGUUUUGAUUGAGUUUUACUUCAAAUUUGGGCGUGUCACAGCCGUGGUUCAUUCUGUAUUGGACGUACAUCAUGCCGGAGUUGUGCCAGUAAUACAGAGCGCCCAGCACUAGCACGUGCCACCACUGAUGCGAGUGACCUAUGUAAUCCACCUUGCCAGGAAACCAGCGCUCUGGAAUCUGUAAAAUAUAAAUGAAUUAAAAACAAAAAAAUACAAAA
Bombyx mori (domestic silkworm) is the source of this 383-nucleotide long non-coding RNA. RefSeq lists it as uncharacterized. The transcript is spliced from 2 exons. NCBI's taxonomy places the organism in Eukaryota, Metazoa, Arthropoda, Insecta, Lepidoptera, Bombycidae. The record is from RefSeq and is a predicted model, not a curated record.